UAAGGAAUAUUGCUCAAUGGGAGAAAUCCUGAAGCAGCAACGCCGCGUGGAGGAUGAAGGGUCUAUGACUUGUAAACUCCUGUAAGAAGGAAAAAAUUCCCAUUUGAUGGGAGAUGAUGGUACUUCUGGAGUAAGCCCCGGCUAACUACGUGCCAGCAGCCGCGGUAAUACGUAGGGGGCAAGCGUUGUCCGGAUUUACUGGGUGUAAAGGGUGCUCAGGCGGAUUUGUAAGUCAGAGGUGAAAUCUUACAGCUUAACUGUGAAACUGCCUUUGAUACUGCAAGCCUAGAGUAUGGAAGAGAGUGAUAGAAUAUCUGGUGUAGCAGUGAAAUGCGUAGAUAUCAGAUAGAACACCAAUGGCGAAGGCAGUCACUUGGUCCAUUACUGACGCUAAAGUACGAAAGCGUGGGUAGCAAACA
Molecule: ribosomal RNA, 419 nt
Filed under: uncultured bacterium
Lineage: Bacteria
Description: bacterial SSU rRNA
Rfam family: Bacterial small subunit ribosomal RNA
Source: RNAcentral